UGUGGGAGGGGUGGAUGCCAGGAAGAGAGGAUCUUGGAAAUUGGCUACCAGAGUGUCCUCUGAUUCCCCUAAAAACAAAAGCUAUUGCUGACCGCUGGUGGCUAGUGCACGGGGGAUAUUUUUUUGUGGCAGGGAUUAGUCCCCAUGUCGCCCACAGGGCUGGAUUUGAGUCAGACCACCCAUGUCCAGUGCUGGCUCCUCCCACUUGGCAGAGGCAUGUAAUCCAGGUCUCGGGUUCCUCAUCUGUAAAAUGAGCUCCAUCUCCCGCCUUGUGGUGUGACGUGAGAAUUGGGUCCAGUUCUCGCCCUGCAAGAUCGGAGAAAGCUCGCUGCCCUCGUGUGAACCACCCAGUGAGGCCCGUCAAGGUCCCAAACAGCUGCUGCCAUUCAAGGAGCUUCGCUGACAUCCACGUGGGCGGCAGGUUAGCACGUGGUCCUCACCCGCCCUUGGAUGAGCCCUGGCUGUUGGCUGUCUGGGACUCGGCUUCACAUGCUUGCCGUGAGAGCGCUGAUGGUUCCGGCUCGCAGCCCCAGGUGCUGUGUGUUCCUGCCUCAAGACAGCAGGUCUGACAGGCACCAGGACUGCCCAGCGACGGAAAAGAUGGAGAAACACAACAAGGCCCUCAAUGUGACCAGCUGGCACUUGCAUCAGUGUUGAAAAUUUCAAACAGUGACACAAGUUAGGACUGUGAGGGACAAUAUUUUUGUUUGGUAAGGUCAGAUUUUGGGUCACAUAUGAACAAUAGUUAUUUCUUUUCAGAUUAUUACUGACAAUAGUUUUGUCUUACAGAGGAGAUGAGCGUUAACAAUGGUCGGCUCUGGUGUAAAUCUGCCGGGUCAGCUCCACUGGACCAUAACGGACAGAAAUCCAGGCCCUUUUUGGGUUUUUCUGUGUACAGUUGUCCUAAACCUGAAAUAUAUGUGAUGCAUUCCACAUAUUGCUACUUUUUCUGCUGCAAUUAUGCCUCUGUGUUAUUAAACACAUACGCCAUAUGUCUUUAUUUGAAAGCUCAGAACCUGGUCAGUGCUCAUAGCAGAGGUAAUGCCCACUGCACUUCUGGAAUUUGGUUCCAGAGCUACAUGAGUACGACUGCACAGUGACUUCCAGCCUGGCCUGUUUCCUCCCGUGUUGGACAUUGUGGGCUUCACACGGACUCCUCCUGUCCUACACACACACACACACACACACGCACACACAGAGCUCAGGCCUCCAGCUGAGCCCUCCCCAGGAACCGCCUCAGCCAGGAGGAGCUCAGAGUCAGCCAUGUCAUCCUGGGGCCACCCCAUCCGAUGGGCUCAGGCGAGCACAGAGGCCCCGCCCCUUUGCCUGCAUAACGGCAGGCCUGAAGGACCCCCAGCGGUGCCCUUCCUUGGGGCUGCCUUCGAGGUUCAAAUUCUCCCUUUGCGGGGUCCCAGUCCUCCUGCCUCGCUCCCCACAGGGACGGAGCCUAAGAGCACUCUCUGAUAUUCCGCCUCUGCACAAACCAGGGGCUGAUUUUUGGAACUCUGUUAUGACACCACUUACCUCCCCCGACCUCCGUAUUGCACUGACCUGGCCCUCUGGCCUGUCACCUCUUCCCCAAAUGCCCGUGUUGGCUCCAGAGUUGGCCCAGGUGGCAAUCAGUGCUGGACCCCAAAUAUUCCCACGGUUCUGUCUUCCAGGGUCACUAGGGCUCCCCUGCCUGGCCCUGUGGCCGGGUGGGGCUGUGUGGAUAGCUGGCUGAUAGGCUGUGGGCAGAGAUGACCUGGGUCAGUUCAAGAAGAUGGUUUAACUGCCACCUGGAGCCCUCCAGAACCGCUCCCCUCCAGCACUGACGUGGGUCCUGGAAUGUGUGCACGAGGCGAGGCCCCUGCCAGUCCUCUGUGGGCAGGGAGAGCGGAUGUUGAACCUCUGGUGGUGUGCACGCUGAGACUGGGGACCGCUGCUCACAGCAGCAUCGUCCUGUGCAUCCCCCUGAUGCAGCUCCCGGGGGCAGGAACCUCCUUCCCUGCGCUUUCUGGCCAUUUCUCUCAACUUCCAAGUUCUGUACAAAACGCAACCAUCUCUGUGAAGCCUCUGCAUUCAGCCUGGAGCCUGUUCUUACUUUGUCCUGUGAAGUUUGUCUCCCCCAUUAGACUGACGGCACCUCCAGGACAGGGAGCACAUCCCAGGCUCCUUCUCUCUGUCACAAGGCCUUGGUUGUUGCAGAGGCCAUGCUGUGAAAGGCACAGGAGGCGUGAGGAGCCGAGUUGCAUGCUGGGUGGUGCUGACAGUGUGUGUGCAGCACGAGAGGAUGCUGAGAGGAGGGCACAGCCAACACAGCUGCUGAGCGUCACACGCUGCCCUGCUUCACUGGCCCCAGGCAGAGGCCAUGGCCUCCCGCCCACCGUGAGCACCUCCCGCCCUGCCAAUGCACCACGGGCCCGGGUUCCAGCCCCUCCGCAGUGCUCUGCGACGUUCUUCUCUGUACCCUAAGAGCUUAAUAGUGAUGUCAGAUGUUCACGCACAGUCAUGUCUGUAGCUUCGUGUAUUGAGCAAACAUCAAGCAUCCUGGGGUCCCAAAUGCUGCUGAUUAGAACAGAGAAUACGCCAGUGAGUACCGUUAAAAUCGGCUCGUUGGAACAUGGGUAAUGACACUGCUGUCUAGGCAGUUCUGCACAUGUGGGGACGCAGGGACUGCACCGUCCACCUGUGCCCACCGAGCCCAUCCACCGCACAAUGGCAGCGGCACGGCCGGCUCGCUGCAGGGCCGGUGCUCAGAGAGCCAGAACCGCGGCCUGGCUGGGUCAGAUCUCCCAGAGCAAGGUCAGCCGCGGGGCACACUGCCACCUCAGCAGCCUCCUGCUGCCGUUGCUGUCAUGUUCUCUGAAACACCUGACUUUCCUCAAAAACAUUUUGAGGAGGAUCCACAAGGCCUCCCCGCUUCACUCUGCUGCUGAAUCAUUUCCUCUGAACUGUUUCAGAUCUUUUAUUUAAUUGCUUGACGUUGCUCAUCUGUCCCAGAACUGCCUCUCGCAUAGACUCGGCUCCCUGACCUGUUAAAGGAGCCCCACGGGCUGCUGCUGAUUGGCCUGCGGUGGGCGAGACUCAAGUCCAGCCCCUGAUCCGCUCGGGGGCGCACAGCAAUGUGUCUCUGAUGCGGCCUCUGGGGUUGUCCAGGAUCAAAGACGUUUCUGGGGCUGAUGAUUCCCCCUGACCCCGUCACCCUCCUUCGCAGAGUCCUGUGCCGGUGGAGAGAGGAGGGUGAUCCUGCAGCCAGAGGUGAGAGACAGGAGCACGUCUGCCCCGUGGCCUGGUUUGGAAGUCCCCGAGUCUGUGCCCUGGUUAGUGCUGGAUUUGGUAGACAGAGCCCAGUGAGCUGUCCAUGCCCCCCGGGGCAGCAGAGGCUGGGAAGCUAAGACGACUUUGCCCAAACUCCCCUGCAGCUGUAUUCUGGGUGUGAUCUUAUCUCCAUCCCAUUAGGUGUAGAUGCUCAUGAUUUCAGGGCAGGGAGAAGUGGGCCCUGCUCUGCUCUGUCUGCUCUUCCCACUGGGGCACCCCAGCAGGUGGGGAGGCUUCUGAUUUUCUGCUGCAGCUUCAGCAGAGGUCCCGACAUCCAGGCAGGGGCUGCACGAGUGUCAAGAGCAGGCCUUGGGGCACCCAUUUCCCGGGUAGCAGCUAGCGGGAGCCUGGGCCCUCUUCCGACCCCCAGCUGAGACAAGCUACUCCUGAAGCACGUGGCUGGGGCUGGUGGCUUCCUGGUCUCGGAAUUUUAGCUAAGGUGGGCGGUCUAGAGGCAGAGGCGGCCCAGCACCAUCCCCGGGGCAUCCAACUUCCGGCUGCGGCAGAGGAAACAGACCCCUUGCUAGGCCGUCGGUUCUGUGCCCAGGAGCCCCUCGCAGAGGCCAGGCCAGGGCCUGCCCCUUAGUCCACUCCACCAGUUCGCCAGCGUCUGGUUUCUUCUGUCAACUCCGGUUUGGCUUAUCAGCACCUGCACUUGUGUUAACAGCAGACGUCCCGACUGUGCUGUCCAUCUGCUGCUCUGCCUCGACGUGUUAUAAACCGAGUUACAUACCCCAGGUUUGAACAAGUUGAGUUUAAACUUGCGCUGAAAAUAGAGAAUGGCUACAAAUCUUUCCUUCAUGCGGCUCUGUGAGCUUGGCACGGAAGGUGAGCGUCUGGCUCUCAGACAACAAGCUCUCCUCCGCUUGCUCAGCACCAGCUCCUCUGGCUCUGGAGGCGUGGGUGCAGGUUCUGUCCACUGCUUGGCCAGCUGGUCCUCAUUUCUGUAACAACCGUCCUCCUCGAGAGCACGUCUGCCGGGCGCGGGAGGAACCCUGAAGACACGGGGAAGAGAAGCCCACGGUGAAUGCUGGAAAGUUCUCUCCCUGUGGGAGCAGGGAGCUGGGGCGGGCAGCCUGUGCCGCGUGGGAAGGGCAGGGGCUU
Non-coding RNA from Equus caballus (horse), 4404 nucleotides. Lineage: Eukaryota; Metazoa; Chordata; Mammalia; Perissodactyla; Equidae. The record is from RefSeq and is a predicted model, not a curated record.